GAUGAAGAACGUAGCGAAAUGCGAUAAGUAAUGUGAAUUGCAGAAUUCAGUGAACAUCGAAUCUUUGAACGCACAUUGCGCCCGCCAGUAUUCUGGCGGGCAUGCCUGUUCGAGCGUCAUUACAACCCUCAGGCCCCCGGGCCUGGCGUUGGGGAUCGGCGGAGCCCCCCGUGGGCACACGCCGUCCCCCAAAUGCAGUGGCGGUCCCGCCGCAGCUUCCAUCGCGUAGUAGCUAACACCUCGCGACUGGAGAGCGGCGCGGCCACGCCGUAAAACACCCAACUCUUCUGAAGUUGACCUCGAAUCAGGUAGGAAUACCCGCUGAACUUAAGCAUAUCAAUAAGCGGAGGA
Molecule: unclassified non-coding RNA, 351 nt
Filed under: soil metagenome
Description: partial contains 5.8S ribosomal RNA, internal transcribed spacer 2, and large subunit ribosomal RNA
Rfam family: 5.8S ribosomal RNA (bases 1-119)
Source: RNAcentral